Molecule: long non-coding RNA, 4002 nt
Filed under: Capsicum annuum
Lineage: Eukaryota; Viridiplantae; Streptophyta; Magnoliopsida; Solanales; Solanaceae
Description: long non-coding RNA (CANN_LNC020270)
Source: RNAcentral
UUCUUGAAGAAUUACUUAGGCUUGCCUUGAUUUUUCUUGACUAGGGUUUAACCCCUUUGGGAAAGAAUGCUCUCUUGUUCCUGAGGAGAUGAUCUUGAGAUAAAACCCUAAUCUUGUGGUUGAGAGUGUAAGAGAGGUUUUUAAGAUGCUUAACUGAAAAAAAUGAGAAAAAUUACGCCUCUUUAAGGUUAUAAAUCGUAGAAGGUGAAAGAAAAGACCAAAAUACCCUUAUGAAAUAAAUUCCCGGUUGUUGAAAAUCAUAGCUGACGACAUUUGUGACAAGGCGUCAAAAGUGUGGUAAGCCGUCAAAAAUGUCGUCACACAGGAGCUGGAACUGAUGGUUUCUGCCUAAGUCUGACGACCUUCGUGGUAGGGCGUCACAACCACGAAUGUCGUCACACAGGAGCUGGUUUCUGCCUAAGGCUAACGACCUUCGUGGUAGGGCGUCACAAAUGUGGUAAGCUACCACGAAUGUCAUCAUAUAGGAGCUGGAUUCUGCCUAAGGCUAACGACCUUCAUGAUAGGGCGUCAUAAAUGUGGUAAGCUACCACGAAUGUCGUCACACAGUUUCCAGCCUGACAUGGUGGAGUAAAAUAGGAAUAACUCUUUGCUCCGAUAUCGAAUUUAGACGAAAUUGAUAUCGUUGGAAAGAUAAUUCAAUUAUCUAUCUGUUGAUAGGUCAUAAGCUCAAAAAUUCCAAGUGUAAUGAGAGAUAUGUUCGUUUGAAGUUGACUAUACCAAUAUCCUUCUCAAGAAUUCAAUCGGUAAGAAAUGUUUUGACUCAUCUGAUAGCUGGGAGUUAUUUGAAGCCUUAAUAUACAUCUAACUUACUCAUAAAACUAUAAAAGAACAACGAUGUACUACGCAUGAGCUUGAUACAUGGCUAUAAUAUUGGUUUGGAUUUUUCAGGGUAUUACGCAUACACUCACAUACCAAAGACACCUAUAUACACAGCCCUACGAUUACUAACCCGAGUACACAAGAUCUCUCUUGACUGCUUGCUACGACCCACACACUCACACUAACUAGCCUUCUACCCUUAUCCACGCCCUCCACACCUUCCUAUCUAGGGUCAUGUCCUAAAUAAGCUGAAGUUGUUUCAUGUCAUGUCUAAUCACUUCCCUCCAAUAUUUCUUCGACCUACCUCUACCCCUCCUAAAGCCAUCCAAAGCUAGCUUCUCACACCUACGAACUAGGACAUCUGCGCCCCUCCUCAUCACAUGCCCAAACCAUCUCAGCCUUCCCACAUCUUGUCCUUCACCGGAGCCACUCCUACCUUCUCUUGGAUAAUCUCAAUCCUAACUCUGUCCCUCUAGUAAGCCCACACAUCCAAUGCAACAUUCUCAUUUCCGCCACCUUCAAUUUUUGGAUGUAGAAGUGCUUGACUGGCCAACACUCCACUCCAUACAACAUGACCGGACGGACUGUCACUCUAUAGAAUUUGCCUUUAAGCUUAAGGGGCACCUUCUUAUCACACAACACUUCCGAGGCGAGCCUUCACUUCAUCCAACCUGCUCCAAUACAUUUAGAAACAUCCUCAUCAAUCUCACCAACAAUAAUAACAAAAACAUAUUCAGUAGAUUCCCACUUAGUGAGGUGCUAAACAAAGGAGCAAAAUGCAGAAAAAUGAAAACUCUAAGGGAUAAGAGCAAGCUUGCAGUUGCAAUGCUGAAUGAUAACAUUGGCCAACAACUGGACUCAUCUAUAGUUAAUCAAACGAUUUUCAAAUAGAUAAUUGACAACCAAGUCACUAUACUUAAAUAUUUUCAAGUAACUAAUUCACAUUUCAAGUGACUACACUUAACCAUUUUCGAGUCACUUUAACCAUUUUCAAGUCGCUAGUACACAUUUCAAGUCACUACACUUAACCAUUUUCAAAUAACUAAUUCACAUUUCAAGUGACUACACUUAAUUAUUUUCAAGUCACUAGUACACAUUUCAAGUUACUACAUUCAAACCAUUUUCAAAUAGCUAAUUGACAUUUCAAGUCACUAUACUUAACCAUUUUCAAGUAACUAAUUCAUAUUUCAAGUAACUACACUUAAUUAUUUUCAAGUCACUACACUUAACCAUUUUCAAACAACUAAUUCAAUUGCAAGUCACUACAUUCAAACCAUUUUCAAAUAGCUAAUUGACAUUUCAAGUCACUAUACUCAAGUAACUAAUUCACAUUUUAAGUAACUACAUUUAACCAUUUUCAAAUAACUAAUUCAGUUGCAAGUCAGUACACUUAACAAUUUUCAAGUCUCUAAUUCACAUUUCAAGUCAACACUUAACCAUUUUUAAGUAAACAAUUCAUAUUUCAAGUGACUAAACUUAACCAUUUUUAAGUCACUGGUACACAUUUGAAGUCACUACAUUUAACCAUUUUCAAAUAACUAAUUCACGUUGCAAGUUACUAUACUUAAACAUUUUCAAGUCACUAGUAUACAUUUCAAAUUACUACACUUAACCAUUUUCAAUCAACUAAUUCACAUUUCAAGUCAUUAUAUUUAACAAUUUUCAAGUAACUACAUUUUAUCAUUUUCAAAUAACUAUGCUUAACCCUUUUCAAAUCACUAAUACACGUUUCAAGUAGUGUCACACAUAGAUGAUCUAAUGAUGGAUUGUACUCGAGUUUCUAUUUUAGCAUAAAAUGGUAUACUUUCACUAAUACACGUUUCAAGUAGUGUCACACAUAGAUGAUCUAAUGAUGGAUUGUACUCGAGUUUCUAUUUUAGCAUAAAAUGGUAUACUUUGCCUUUCAAAUGCAAUCCAGCUAGGUUAUUCACACACACAAAGAAAGUAGAACUUUGCCAUAGAAUACAAAAAGUGAACAAGAACUAUUUCGGCCCCAUCUACGUGGAUGGACCAUAUUUUAUACGAAUGAACAUUAAAGGAAAAGGCGAAAGGAAUAAAAUAUUGAGAUGAAGCAUCAUAUCACCACCUAGAAGAUCCUAUAUAACAAUCUUUUAUACUCAUCAAGUGUAGACAUAGCUUAUGAAUAAAAUAGUUCAUCAUUGAACACUUCCCGUCUCCUAAUCUCACUACUUUUAGUUCUCUCCUUUCCAACAGGCUAUAAAGAAAGGGAAACAUAGGUGAGAUCAAUAAAGACAUUUAGCUCCAAAGAAAAAUGAAAUUGCGUUCUUUCCAAGUCUCGCUAUCACGUUAUGCAUUCUAACAGUAACAAGCAGAGCUCAUGAAAUUUCCCAUAUGUCAAAAACAAACAGAGAUUUCCAUGUCUCUAAACAUCUUGUUGGUGCACCAAAAAGAAACAGUGAGUGUCGUUGCAGACAUAAGUGGCAAUAUCAAUAAGUUUGAGUUAGAAACCAACAAAUUUAUACCAGAUGUUGAUUCUGCCGUCUGGAAUCGCGACGACAACAGUUGUUGAUUCUGCCAGAUGGAAUCGCGGCCGGCGGAGCUGGUUCAUUUUCGCCGAUAAAACCUAGCGUUUGGCUUGGUUCACCGGCGACAGAGGAGAAGAGAAAGAGAUGAAGGGCGGCGGAGAGAGUUUUCCACCAGCCAGAGGUGGCCGGCGGUGGUGCGGUUGUUGAAGAUAGAGGAGAGAAAAAGGGUGGUGGGCGGCUGAUUGGAUUAUUCUAAAAAGAGAAAAAUGAAAUCUGAUUUGGGGGUUUGAUUUCUUUAGAAGGUAAAGAAAUGGGAGAUUUGAUCUUAAUCGUCGACUAUAUAAGAUCGAUGGUUAUGAUUAAAAUUAAAAUAUGUUAGUUAAUGAAUUGGGUUUAAAUUGACAUUAGUUUAGGCUAAAAUUGGCAUUAACUUAGUAUCAAAAUGCCUAAAAAUUAAAUAACUUGAAAAAUUGGAUUAAAUUUAGGUUGUUAUUUAAUAAAUAUAAUAAAUAACUUAAUAAUGGUACUGAGAAAAAUAUAAAAUUAUUAUUUUUAAAAAGAAAUAAAUUAUAUGUAUAAAAUUAAUGUUGUGUGAUAUAAAAUUGAUGGUAAUGAUUUGAAGCAAAUUAGGUGCAAAUUUUACGGAAUGAUAUUAUCAUAAUAAUAAUAAUAAUAA